Molecule: ribosomal RNA, 281 nt
Filed under: uncultured bacterium
Lineage: Bacteria
Description: partial 16S ribosomal RNA
Rfam family: Bacterial small subunit ribosomal RNA
Source: RNAcentral
UACGUAGGUGGCAAGCGUUGUCCGGAUUUUAUUGGGGUUUUAAAAGGGGUGCGUAGGCGGCUUUAUUAAGUCAGUGGUGAAAAUACUCUAGCUCAACUAGAGGGGGUGCCCAUUUGAUACUGAUGAGCUUUGAGUACAGAUGAGGUAGGGCGGAAAUUUGACGGGUGUAGCGGGUUGAAAAUGCUUUAGAUAUCGUCAAAGAAACACCCUAUAGCGAAGGGCAGCUUACUAGGCUGUAACUGACGCUGAGGCACGAAAAGUGUGGGGGGAUCAAAACAGGG